Molecule: long non-coding RNA, 1059 nt
Filed under: Rhinopithecus bieti (black snub-nosed monkey)
Lineage: Eukaryota; Metazoa; Chordata; Mammalia; Primates; Cercopithecidae
Description: lncRNA (ENSRBIG00000046122.1)
Source: RNAcentral
CGGUGAAACCCCGUCUCUACUAAAAAUACAAAAAACUAGCCGGGCGAGGUGGCGGGCGCCUGUAGUCCCAGCUAUUCGGAAGGCUGAGGCAGGAGAAUAGCGUAGACCCGGGAGGCGGAGCUUGCAGUGAGCUGAGAUCCGACCACUGCACUCCCGCCUGAGAGACAGAGCCAGACUCCGUCUCAAAAAAAAAAAAAAGAAAAGAAAAUGCCCACACUUCGGAGCAAGAAGCAGGUCCCAUCCCCCUCUGCUGACGUCACGCCUGUGGAUUGGCUGAUGGAGCUGUGAGCUCGGCUGUUGUUGAGCCGGGGGAACCGAAACUUGGCAGUCGCCAUGACUGGCUGUCCGGCGUCAUCAAGCUACCGAGGCUUCAAGCCCUUUUUCUUCUUGCCUCUACACCGCCUCCUGUUGUUGUUUCUGGUUUUGCUUGGGACCCUGGCCAACAAACUUAACGUGCCACAGGUGUUGCUACCCUUCGGCCAAGAGCCAGGCCGGGUGCCUUUCCUGCUGGAGGCGCAGCGAGGCUGCUACACUUGGCAUUCCACCCAUCAUGAUGCAGUUACUGUUGAGCCUUUAUAUGAAAAUGGCACCUUGUGUUCCCAAAAAGCUGUACUCAUUGCUGAAUCUACGCAACCGAUACGCCUCAGCAGUAUUAUUCUUGCUCGAGAAAUAGUGACUGACCAUGAGCUACGCUGUGACGUUAAGGUUGAUGUGAUAAACAGCAUUGAAAUUGUAUCUCGGGCCCGGGAACUUUAUGUAGAUGAUUCGCCACUGGAACUGAUGGUGAGGGCAUUGGAUGCUGAAGGUAAAGAACUUCAGAGGAUUCAACAAAAUUACCUAAAAUAAAGUAAUAUCCCUUUAUGUUUAGCACUUGGAAACAAAAACUUGAGUGACAAAAGUAGAUUAGAAAUAAUAUCUAUUUUCUCAUUUGGAGCUCAUAUAGAUGAAUAAUAAUUCUGAGUAUAAUUUAAUGUAUUAGCUACACAUUUUUAUAAAAUAUUCCUGCUAUUGUUAGUUAUCUGAGAACUUUUCGUUUCUUUUUUUUUUGGCGUGUUGGGG